GUCCGGAGUUAAGAUGGACUGUCGUCAUGCGAUUGAGCCUCGAGUAAAGUCAUCGCAGACUCCUGGCCUCACUGUGGACUCCCAGCCUCAGCAUGGACUCCUGGCUUCAAGGUGAAUCCAAAGCUGAUUCCUGGUCUUGAUAGCCUCAGGUGAAUCCCAGGGCAUUCUGAACGUGAGGCCUGGUGCAGUCUGGAGGUGAGACCCAGCGUGGUCGGGAGGCAAGGCCCAGUAUGGGCUGGAGGCUAUGGAAAAUCAAUAAACAGCUUAAAUCUUGAGAAUGGAAGAUUCCCUGCUGUUGCACACAGCCAGCCCCAUGUUGUCCAUGGGAUGCACGUGUACAUUCAGAUAACUAGAGAACGGCUCUGUAAAAAUAAAC
This is a non-coding RNA of Chiloscyllium plagiosum (whitespotted bambooshark), 376 nucleotides long. NCBI's taxonomy places the organism in Eukaryota, Metazoa, Chordata, Chondrichthyes, Orectolobiformes, Hemiscylliidae. The record is from RefSeq and is a predicted model, not a curated record.